This is a non-coding RNA of Anas platyrhynchos (mallard), 3134 nucleotides long. The record is from RefSeq and is a predicted model, not a curated record. NCBI's taxonomy places the organism in Eukaryota, Metazoa, Chordata, Aves, Anseriformes, Anatidae.
UCAAGCCUAGCAUCAGCAUGAGGAGCUCCACCUCCAGCACCAGAGUUCUGUAGCAUGAUACAUAUAGGAACAGCUGUGCUAACUAUGGUUGUGGCCCAAGUUCCUGUUCCCCAGUUGUAUACAGCUUUUUUUGUUUGUUUUGUUUGCAUGAGAUUUGCUUGCUAGUGUUUAUGUAGCCAGGUUAUGCCAGAUCUUUUUGCUGUUUCUUCUUUAUUGCUGCUUGGAAAACUUCUUGUUGGGAAAACUGUGAUUUUUUUUUUUUUAUUAUUUUUUCCAGUUGUUGACCAGGUCAUAGGUCUUCAGUUCCUCUGGCACAGUCUUUUGAAGGUGUAUACAAAUAGGAGAAAGGUAAAAGGAGAUGAUUAACCCAGCAGAGGUGACCCAGCAGCAUGUGACCCAGUGCAUGUUAUGAGGACAAAGAGACCUGAAAUGGUGGUGGCAAAAGCUGAGAGUGUCAAUAGGGGCAGCUGUGUCUGCUUUCUUCACUAAGAGUCUUUGCCAUUGAUUCAGCGUUGCUGCAGGGCUUUAGACAGCUCGGUUUCAUGAAAGUCAGUGCCAUGCCAAAUAUUGAAAGGUGCUGCUGCAGAUGUCUGCUCACCAAGGACACCAAUUAACUUCCCAUAAGAAGUUAAUUAACUACUCCAACCAUAAGAAAACACCUAGCAUGGGGAAUUAAAUGGCAUUUCCAGCAAUCUUCUAGGAUGAUUCGAGACAUGUUCCGAGGAAGGAAUCCUUUGUACCAAAAGAAUCUGGAUAUAGCACAUGUGUUUGCCUGCUGGCAUCCCAAGAAGUGUUACCUCUCUCCCAACAGAAGGCUCACACUUUAUAGCUCCUGGAAAGUAACAUGUUUGCCUUCAAUAAAUAACAUGCAUUUUAAAGAAAACAUCUGGAUAAAAAUUGUGCUUGGCUUUUUAAAAUAUAGAAUUAAAAAGAAAUCGUAUUAAAGAAAAGUAGUGCAAUAAUAGUAGAGCUUGCUAUCAUAGAAAAAAUCAAUUUAACUUAUAUAGGUGGACUUCUAUGGGAUACAUACUAUAAAAUCACACUACAGAAUUUUCCAAAUAGAGAACACAGGGACCACUGAAGGAGUGGUAGAAGAUAUUUCAUUAAUGAAACAAAGGCAGCAAAUAGAGAUUAAAAAAAAAAAAAAAGAAAAAGUGUAGGUGUAGAGAUUUUAUUACAGUGCUUAGCAAUGUAGUCAUCAAUAACAGCAGAAAAUGCUAAGGGAAGGAACGUAUGGAAGCAUUAGAAACAGGAUCAAGUUAUAAGCUCUGGGAGAAAACAGAAUCCAGGAUAUAGGGAGGAGAUACCUAGGAAUGGUAAUGUCAGGAAAGGUCCUGAAGAAAUACAAACCAUCAAAUUAGUUAUCAGUCCAAGAAAGAGCAGCUUUUACAGGAAUAGAAAUAUUAACAGAACGUAUUAAAAAUGUUUAUUUUUAUAUAACACAUUUCUAGGCACCUAGUUAACAUAAUAUACAGAUGGACACAAGAAUGUUUAGUGACGGGUAAAAAUAAUAACUGAGGGGCUAGUUUACAAGAAAGUCAAAGUCCUAUAACAUGGCUGAAAAGUAGCUAACAGGGCAUACACUACUAGUCUAUCACUAAAGUAUGAAGUCAACCAGGAGCACAGCAAAGUUUUAUAGCAUAAUAAAAAGAGUUGUAAAAAGGAGCAUAGGGAUCAAAUUAUGAAAAGAAAAAAAUUGACUGAAUAAUCAAAGGGGAGAUUUAUUAUCCAUGGGAAUGAUUUCACAAAAGAAGCAAUAGAUGUUCUGUUGCUAGGAAAAUUUAAAUAAAAGUGGACAAAAUACUGGUGUAUUUACAACAGAGAGAAGACUUGUAAAAAUAUAGAUUGAAUGGGUUAAGAGUUACAUAAUUCAUGUUUGUAUUCUAAAUUACACUGGCAUACAUAAGUGACUGUUCUGUGUCAGUCUGCAAAAUUGCCUGCCUAAAACAAGCUGAUCAGAGUCUACUCACAGAAUCUGUUCUUUGAACUAAGGCGGUUGUAUUAAGAUUUUAGUAGUUAUUUAUUACUUCUCUUUCUACACAUCGUCAUGUACACAUCUACCCUUGCCUGUCCACUGAGGCAGACAUUCCUUACAUGUUUUUUGGGAAAUAGAAUAUAUGAAAAAUAACUCAGGGUUUAUGAAAAUCUUUACCACAACCAUUUAAAUGUUUUUGUGUUUUGUUUUGUUUUGUUUUUCACAUGAUUUCCACAACAGUCACAGUGCUGUCAUGUGCAAUGCAUAUGAGUCAUAAAUAUGUAUUUUGAAAAAUAAAAGCAUGACUUUGGAGAAGAACUAGCUGAGCCAUCUAUUCUACUCUAGUCCAAAUCUAGUCCAAUUCCCACAAUUGAAAAAAAUAAAAUAAAAACAGACUUUAUUUUAUGAAAAUGCACAAAGCCUCUGCUCCAGACUCCCCAUUAACAUCCUGCAAAAUACAUGCCAAAACUUUAUGAUACACUUGAGGCCUGGACAGGAAAAGAAAGCAAUAUGAAUGGAGAAAGGAGUGUCAGGGCAUGGCCAGUUCCCCCAGCUUUCACUGAGCAUCCAUUAGGCUCAGGUGAGGAGAACACAUAUGAGCUCACUUUGUAGCUCUAAGUUUUCCAUGGUAACAAAAAUGGCAGAUAUCCUUUGUUAGGACUCGAAUGGUUUUACUUCAAAUAGCAAUGAUGAUGUCUUUCUCACACAGUUCCUUUUAUAUAUUUUCAUAUUUUACAAAGCAGUGUCCUUAUUUUAGAUUGAAAGCUGAAAUAUCCAAAUUCACAUACAGCAGUUCAAAAGUAUUGUCAGGAACAAACUUAGGUCUCUUGGAUCAGUUUUCAACAAUGGUAAAUUGUUCUGGUCCCACAGAGACAGCAGAGGUAUAAAACAAAUACAGUAAUUUAUAUCAAGUGAGGAUCAGUGUCAGGUCUUGCAGUCCCAUGUCCUAUUCACUAGCACUUGUUGCCUCACUUAAUGACAGCACUCUCCAGUAUGUUUAGUCUCUAAGGAAACAUGUAAAAAACAUAUGCUACUCCUGCCUGUACUAUAUUUGUUUUGCAGACAGAGAGCUGUAGUCUUCAGGGCUGCUAAUGCUUAUAUAGCAUUAAAAUUCACAACAGAAAGUCUCUUCUGCUCCAUUUUGCUCCUCAUCACUCUU